This is a long non-coding RNA of Nanorana parkeri, 269 nucleotides long. RefSeq lists it as uncharacterized. The transcript has 3 exons. NCBI's taxonomy places the organism in Eukaryota, Metazoa, Chordata, Amphibia, Anura, Dicroglossidae. The record is from RefSeq and is a predicted model, not a curated record.
CUUCUAUGGAUCACAUCAACAAGGAUGGAGGAGGACCCGAGGUCACAUGACUGAGAGGAUAUUGGACCUCACCCUGGAGAUCAUCUACCUGCUGACCGGAGAGAGUUUUCCUCCGGUGAAGUCUGGUGACUAUAUAACCAUCACAGUGCCUUCACCUCACUCCAAGAAACCCGAGAGGAACAAUGACAAGAAGAUCCUAGAAGUUACCAAGAAGAUCAUUGAGCUGCUGACGGGAGAGGUUCCUAUAAGGUGUCGGGAUGUCUCUGUCU